UCUUAUGGAUGAUCAAAGAAAAUGAUUUUGUGAGAUGGAAACUACUCGUGGUGAAAAUUCUAGGAA
This 66-nucleotide microRNA precursor is filed under the name Marmota monax (woodchuck). The record is from RNAcentral. Lineage: Eukaryota; Metazoa; Chordata; Mammalia; Rodentia; Sciuridae.